UACGGAGGGUGCAAGCGUUAUCCGGAUUCACUGGGUUUAAAGGGUGCGUAGGUGGGUUGGUAAGUCAGUGGUGAAAUCCCCGAGCUUAACUUGGGAACUGCCAUUGAUACUAUCAGUCUUGAAUACCGUGGAGGUCAGCGGAAUAUGUCAUGUAGCGGUGAAAUGCUUAGAUAUGACGUAGAACACCAAUUGCGAAGGCAGCUGGCUACUCGGAUAUUGACACUGAGGCACGAAAGCGUGGGGAUCAAACAGG
RNAcentral lists this ribosomal RNA (253 nucleotides) under uncultured bacterium. RNAcentral's name for it is "partial 16S ribosomal RNA". It matches the Rfam family "Bacterial small subunit ribosomal RNA", at positions 524 to 776 of the family's 1533-position model. The record is from RNAcentral.